GAUGUAAAAAACCAGGGCAACAUUACAAACAAGGCUAUGCUCUGCGGCAGAAAGUAGCCGUAGGCUCGGGAUAGCCCGCAUCACAAGGAUAUCGAAAAUCCACCCGUCACAAGUUCUACCCUAAAGCUACUAACCCUGCUUGAAUGCCGUUGUCCAAUAUACGUCAACCGACGCCUAAUUUAGACCAAUUUUGAUAGUGUGUUUGAAAACAGCUUCAGUCAGUUCUUUUCAAACAGGUUCGGUGGAGGGUCUGUGGAGAUAGGGGUUUGUUUUUAUAGCGAACCCCAAAUUGGUCUAAAUUAGACAUAGCUCCUACGACUUCCACGACUUUCGUCAAGCGACCCCAAAAGUCGUGCUGUCUCAUUUUCGUAAGGCUCCUACGACUUCCACGACUUUUACGACUUUUUUAUAAGUUUAAAAAAAAAGGAGAGGGGAGGGCAUAGGGGGGGAGGGGGGGGAGAGUGUAAGAAGUCAAAUAAAGUCGUGGAAGUCGUGGAAGUCGUAGGGGCUAUGUCUAAAUGACGGAACUUUUAUUCCACGGGCGCUAUAAAAAGUCGUGGAGGUCGUAGGAGCUAUAUCUAAAUCACGGAACUUUCGCGAAAUGGGAACAACCAGUUCAAGCGAUACUUACAAAGGUCUCAAACACCCGUCAAAAUCUCACAGAAGUUCCCAGAAACUUGCGUGAGGUUUCUAUAUAGGUUUGUGAAGGUCUGCCGUAGGCUAAAUCUCACAGGGUUCUAUAGAAGUCUAUGAAGGUUGCGGCCGCGAGGGGUCUUCAAAAAGGUCUCAAACAGGCUUCUUAAACAAAGGCUCAUUUUGGAGACUUGCGUAAGGUUAUGGGCCUUUUAGACAACACGCGAUAAUACAUUUAGUCAUUUAGACCAAAAUGAGACCAAAAACUACUUGUAGUUAUCACGUUGUGCUUUAAUUAACCAGCGGUCGGUCGGCACCACUGUGCACGGCAUUUCCCCGGGACCUCUCUGCGAACGAAAAAUAAAUGGGAUCUCCCGAGACAUCCUUCAAACCCCCUAAAACCCAUGAAAUAUCUCGCGGAUUUCCGCGAUACUUUACCCACAGACCAGAAAUGGCCGUGCGCGCCAACCCUAAACUUUUCGCGCCCCACAAACCCUAAAGGAUAUUGCGCGACGGGAACAUGAGACCUUUGAGAAACCCGCCUGACGAGACCUUCUCACCUUCUCCUGAUAUUUUAAUGUUCCCGUACCUCCGCUUUUUUUGUGUAAAAUUAGGUUCAAAUUGUGUAUAUUAUUAAGGGUGAGUGAAACGAACCUUGAACGACGCAGUCGGUCAAGCUUAAUAGUAUCACACUAUUUCACCUAAUUUUACACAAAAAAAGCGGAGGUACGUGUAGCCCUACGUGUACUUAUUCGGAACGUUGUACGGAAGACUUUUACGGAAGUACGAAAGUACGAAAGUACUUUCGAAAGUACGAAAGUACGUACGAAAGUACCUUCGAAGGUUCAGACAGUACUUUCGAAAGUACUUUCGUACUUUAUUUCGAAAGUACGAAAGUACUUUGCUACUUUCGUACUUUCGAAAGUACUUUCGUACGAUAGUACUUUCGUACACCGUUACAGUACACGUACGUACGUGUACAGUACACGUACGGAAGUACAACAAUGGAAGUACUUUCGUACUUUCGAAAGUAUGAUAUUUUAUUUCCGGAAGUACGUUGUAGGGCUACACGUACACGUACAACUACGAUUUGUACCUUCGAAGGUACUUUCGUACAACGUUGUACAGUAUGAUACUACUUUCGUACUUCCGUCUGGUACUUUCGAAAGUAUUUCCGUACCUACCUAGCUAGGGCAGUGCUACACGUAGGGCUACGUGUACACGGACGGUACACACGUACAGUGUACCCCGCACAGCGCACACCUGUGAUCUCAGCCUGAUCUCCGACGCGACAGGACAACGCGCGUGGAACGUAGCGAACACACUCCGUCUCGAGCGCGAUGGAGGGCGGCGCGUACGCGCAAGGCGAUCAGACGACGGAGCUCGAGUUUGAGAGCGCCAUGACGUUCGCGUCCGCGCGCGGCUUCGAGCUCGGUCGCGUCGCGGCGCGCGAUCGCGCGCCGUCGCGCUCCGCCGCCGCGUUCGAUCGCAGCUCUAGCGCUCGCUGUUGUUCCACCGCGCACGCAUCGCGUCCGUUCGCCGCCGCGAGCGCGUCGAACGAUCGCAACGUCGGCGUGUGGAGCGUAUGCAAGUCCUUGCUCGCCGGCGGCGUCGCCGGCGGCGUCUCGCGAACCGCGGUCGCGCCGCUGGAGCGUCUCAAGAUCUUACAGCAGGUCGCCGGGAGCACGACGAAAUCGUAUAAGGGCGUCCUGGGCGGGCUGUCGCAUAUCCUACGCACGGAAGGCGUCCUCGGGAUGUUCAAAGGGAACGGCGCGAACUGCGUGAGGAUCGUCCCGAACAGCGCGUCGAAGUUUCUCGCGUACGAGUUUCUCGAGGGAUUUCUAGUCAAACGUGCACGCGAGAGCGACGAAAAUGCGCAACUUGGUCCGGUUACGCGCCUCAUCGCCGGCGCGGGCGCGGGGGUCUUCGCGAUGAGCGCGACGUACCCGUUAGAUAUGGUACGCGGACGGCUCACCGUGCAGGUGGACGGGAAAGGGAUGAAGCAGUACACGGGGAUGAUGCACGCGACGAGGGUCAUUGUGCGAGAGGAGGGCGCCCGCGCGUUGUACAAAGGCUGGCUCCCGUCCGUGAUCGGCGUCAUCCCUUACGUGGGCCUGAAUUUCGCGGUGUACGGGACUUUAAAAGACUACGCCGCCGACUUUCAAGGGUUGGAUAGCGCGAAAGAUCUGUCCGUCGCGAGUGGGUUGGCAUGUGGCGGCGUCGCCGGCGCGAUCGGGCAAACUGUAGCGUAUCCAUUCGACGUGUGCCGGCGAAAGCUACAAGUCGCCGGGUGGGAGGGCGCGAAAGCGCUCGCGGAAGGAGAGCAUGCCAGGCGUUUGUCGAACGUGCGUUACACCGGCAUGAUAGAUUGCUUCGUGAAGACGGUGAAGAACGAAGGUGUCGGCGCGUUAUUUCAUGGUGCGUUCUCGGUCGGCUCCUUGACGUCUUAACUCGUUCUCGCGUCUUGACUUGGUGCCGUGGUGACCUGACGCCUCGUGCUUCUUCGAAACGGUGAUUCCGUCGUCGUCUACCCUCGAACGCGUCUCGCCGUGCAUCACGACUGAACGAUGCGUCUGGUCCGUCACUUCUCUCUUUAGGCCUGAGCGCGAAUUACGUCAAGGUCGCACCGUCGAUCGCGAUCGCGUUCGUGACGUAUGAAGAGCUGAAGAAGCUAUUGGGGGUGGAGCUUUACAUAUCGUCCGGGUGACCGCCGGUGACCGUCGCGUUCUGAGCGGGGGAUGCGUAUUCCUAUAUCACUAUAUUAUUAUUUCUGGCUAAACCCUCCGUCGUCGCGUCGCGUCCUUGAACCCGUGCUACUUGACAAACCGCUUGCACAGCUCCUUGAGCUCGUCUCCACACGCGCUCGUGAGGCGCUCCACUGGGCCGUCCGCAAGGGAAAUGCAUGGCGCGCGUCUCACGAAUCUUCCCGGCAAGCGUGCGUCUGGGGGGAAUCGCGUUCUAUAUUGCCGCUCACGAUGCCGCUGGCGUCGUCCGCGCGCUCGGAGUGAAGAGAAGCCCGACUCUCGACGGCGUCGCUUUCACCGCGCUCGACCUUGGGUGCUUUUACCGUCUAGUUAGUUGUCAAGUCGAAUCGUUUCCACGAGUGGUCAGGAAAUAAACUCGAAGCACGCCAUCCAAGCGCGCGCACGGACCAUCAACACUUCACCGGCCGCUACUUCGCGAGCAUCGGUCGCAGGUGCUGCUCCGCGAACGACGUGAACACUUCCAUCGUCUCCGUCUCCCUCGAGACGCUGACGCGCCCUUCUCUCCAAGAGCGUUCUCGCUUCUCUUCCGCCACGUCGAGCUCUAACGCGUCGAUCUCGUCCUGGACCGUGUAAGCCUCCAUCUUCGCCUCGACGGCGUCGACGUCGCGCUCGACGAGCGCGCGCAGCGCGGAGCCGCCAGCGCGAGCGAACGAGCGCGCGACGUGCCUCGAGAGCGCCUUCGCGCUCGCUUCGUCCGCGCUACGAGUCGCUAUUGCGGCGACGAAGAACCCUUCCUUCUCGCUCGACGCGACGGAAAACCAGGACGUUCGAAGGAACGAACACGAAGGCGGUUGUGCGCCUCCGACGAGGGAGUGCAUCGACGCGAUCGCCGCCACAAGCGGGCGUUGGACCAUGCCGCGCGCGCCGACGGAGCGCGAAACGCGCGAUUCGUUCACCAAGAUCGUCGUCAUCUUCGUGAAUAUCACAACGCCUAGAAGCCACUCGACAGAGGGAUCGACUAGGACGGUCAUCGCGAGCGCAACCCAGGGUCUCGCGCGGCAGGCGCUUCGAAAACGCGGGCCGGGGUGUCCUUGACACCCUGCCCACUCUCUGCGGGUUAGGGGGAAAAUCAGUGCCUUCGCUGCCGUCGGUCAGGUAGUUGGGAGAAGAGGGGCACGGCGCGGCAUGGUAUUUAGUCUGGCAAGUACGGAAGUUCGUGUACUGUACUGGUAAAAGUUCCUUUUCUAAACGCGACAGAACGGAUCCAGUCUCUGACUGAAGUGCCCAUACGAAAGAUCGUGACAGAAACGUGACACUGACAAAUUGCCCAUACGUAACCUGUGGAUGGGCCCAAAUUCCAAUCCGGGCUAUUUAGUGUGCCCCCGCGCGAGUACACGCGGUCGGUCGAAAUCGUCGACCGAACUCGCCAAUCUCGGUUCAAACUCCCCGACUCGACGAAAAAUCUCGUACGAAAACGACCGCACAGCGCAUUCAGUUCGGAUUUUCGAUGGGACGUACAAAAAAUCGGGAGGGAACGCUUAAAAUUCUGGCAGCGCUUUUAGUCAGGAAGUGACGUAUCGUACUCGACGAAAUGUGAUUGUUUAGUAAAUGUGAUGGUUCACGUCAGGUCGGCGGCCGGGUAACGGGCUACAACCCUAAAGUCCUACACGUACAAAACCCUAAAUACUCUGGAUUAAAUUACACCGCUAGAUACUGAGACAGACUACACCCGUCAUCGACCUGUGCUCAGGCGUCACGUCUCUUAGCUCAUCUACGAUGAUCACUCCUCGUCUCCCAACACGGACGCGCAGGAUUUUUUUUUUCCCGACUUCAAGAUCGUGGAGUUGUUGAAAGGUUACGAUUCUCGCAUGACAGAGCGGGCAUAAGUGUCGGCCACGAAUGCGAACGUGCGAUUCGUCGUGCGAGUAGUAGCUUCGUUAAUAAUAAUAAUUAUUAUAAUAAUAAUAAUAAUAAUUAUAAUAAUAAUAAUUAUAUUAAUUAUAAUAAUUAUAAUAAUUAUAAUAAUAAUAAUAAUAAUAAUAAUAAUAAUAAUAAUACGAUUUCUCGCUCGCGAAUCACCGCACCGUUCCAACUUCGUCCGCCGCGCGCGCCGCUUAGAGCGGGAUGCGCUGCGGGGUCCAGCAGAGGUUCGUGUAGACGCAGCCGAGGAAGCACGCCGCGAUCGCGGAGCAGCCGCAGCCCUCGUGCGAUCUCACAACCCACAUCGGGCAGAAGGUCUUGAAGCAGCACUCCGGAGGGGUCUUGUAUUGCUGUCCCCCAUCAUGAUCACCUGCGGCUGCUGCAUCACGGGUUGUUGCGUCAUCGUGGCCUCGCAGACCGGGCCGGCGGUCUCCUUCUCGACCUCGGGGGCGAUGGUGGACAUUUGCAUGUCGGACAUGUUGAGCGGUGGGGCGGCGGCGUGAAGCGCGUCGGGAAUGACAUUUUUUAGAUAUACAAAAAAAACUCGGUGGAGAUAAAAAAAAAAAUAUUGGCUUCCGGCUUCAUUAAUUUUCAGGUUAUUUUCCCCCUCUGCUAUCUGUUCUACCCUGUAUCUGUAUUAAUCUGUUGUUUGGGAGAAGGUUUACCUUCUCACCAUCUAGGCAUUUUUCCCGACCUAAGGGACGAUAAUUUCAACCAAUCAAAUGCGUUUGGCGCCCCGUAUCCAAAGUGCACCCCUUUGUUAGUCUUAAAUGAGUACGCGAAUUUCGUACUACGCGGAAACGGCACCUCGGGGCUCGCGGCUACGACGAAGACGACGACGUGAAGAAAAAAGGAUAAGGAAAAGGGCACGGCUCGCGCACCACACUUCACCACGUGUAAUACAACACACCGCCUUCGUGCCACCCGCGCAUUCCUCCUCCACACGCCCUCCAUCGCGCUACGUAACGCCCCAACGCUCGACGCGCGAAAUGAGCAUCAGGGCUGCAGCACCGAAUAUGGGCCCUUUCACCAGGUUAGUCUGUACGAACUUUCGUACUCUUCACACUAAAUACGCUCCCGGGCCCCUUCUCCCAACUACCGACGGCCGAAGCGCCGGAGGCGCUGAUCUGGUACGUGUACACGUACACGUACCUGUACGUGUACACGUAGUCUGGACCAGAGAGUGACCCGGUCGGAAGGGCAUCAAGGAAGAGAUAGAUUUACUGUGAGGCUGCGACGCCGCUUGAGCGCACUCGAGCACGCGCGCGCGCAUACGUUCGUUCCCUUCGCGCAAUCUAUAUGGCGAGCUUCGUGAUGUCCGCCGGCGCGACCGCGAGCGGGACCAACGCGCGCGUCUCGACCAACGCGCGCGUCUCCGGCCUCGGAUUCCGUCGCGCGGUCGCGGCGCUUCCGCGAGUCACGUCCGCGCCCGUCGCGAAGUCCGUCGCGCCCUCCGCGGUGGUGACGACGUGCGGCAAGCCCGGGGCGAAGGCGAAGACGAGGAAGAGCGCAGCGAAGCGGUACAAGGUCACCGCGAGCGGCAAGGUUCGUCCCCUCGCAUGCCGUUCUCGCGCGCGUCUCCGGAUAGGUCGUUCGCGCGUUGAAUAGGGUUCAGGUUUUCACACGUGGCGGACUAUCCUCCUCCGUCGCUGACGUCGUUCUUCCACUCUCUUGAUCCUCUCUCAGGUUCUUCACCGGCGCCCGGGUAAGCAGCAUCUCAACGGACACAAAACGACGGAGCGUAAGACGCGCUUGAGCGGCGAGCGCCAGGUUGGAAGAGCGCAGAUCCCGCUAGUGAAGGGUUGCCUCCCGUACUUGAAGUCGAAGAUUCGUUGAGGGUUGUGAAGUAGAAGAUUCGCUGAGGGCCACGACGCGGCGAAGGCGCCAUAGCGACGGGUGGGUCGCGUGUUCGCUGUGCCCCAAGAGGGUGGAUGGACGCGCGGCGGCCGGGGCAUGUAAAAAGAUCCAGCCCAAUAUAUUGUCGCGGGUGCAGUGUGUUCAGUUCUUGGAGUUCGUCACAAUUAAGCGGCCCCGCGAUCUUCACCAACGCCGCGAGCGGCCCCGCUUCGCAUCGAAAAGAAUGGCAAGCUCUCUGCUUCCUCGAGCUUCCUGCGGGGCGUCGCGACUGAGAAAAACACGGGAAAAAAGCCCUCGUACACAACCCGUUGUUUAAUCGCGUGCGCGUCACCCUGACACGUCUGGAAGAGCAACUCACGUCUACACGCACUCACGACGGCCCGACGAACUCCCCUAAUGCACGCGCGAGGUCCUCGAUCUCGCGCACGUCCACCCUCGUGUUCACGACUCUUUCACGCGCGGGGUGACCGCACGCGCCCCCGAGCGCGUGUUUCAAACAAAAAACCGGCCGGUUAAGAUCUCUCCUUCCUUCUCGUGUGGUUCCUCCGUAAGGCGCGCCCUUCGCGCGAUCGUUCCCUAAUGCCAACGCCGCGCCCGCGGCGGACUUUCCCUGCGCCCUUGCCCUCGCGAUGGCUUGCGAGAGCUCGAUGUGAUCUUUCAGCUUCCAACACGUUUCGCAGCGCGCGACCGCGAGGUACGGCAUCGAUUUGCACUCCGCGCACACGACCUCGUGGUCGUGAGUCACUCUGCCUCCCAAACAAUCAUCGUCCGCACUCACGCGAACACCUCGAGUCAGCGCCGCGUCGCGUCCGGUGCGUUGCUCACGCGCGAUCGUGAAAAGAUCAUCGCGUAUCAUCCGCGCGACACUCGCAAUCCACGGCGCUCGAGCCUCGUCGCUCACGCCGCCCGGGCUAGCGAAUGAUCGCGCGUGUCGUCUUCCGGUUUCGAGCAACACCCUCUCGUGAGAGAAUACCGCGUUUCGCUUGAACGAGCUCGUGACAUACGCCUCCACCGCGGCUCUUCCGAAUGGGACCCACUCCGCUGUGCCGAAAUUCACGGCUGUUGAACGAACGACGGUCGCACGACGGUCGCGCAGAAAGUCUUGAUUGGUCAGCGACGUCGACGCGAAGGAUGAACGACAGAGCAGGUUCACGACACGAACCCAAUAGCAAUGGCGACGGCGACGCCGCGGGUACCGGUUACGAGGAGGCGAUACGCGGAGUGCCCUCGUCGAGAUCGAGAAGAUGGCAUGGACGUAGACGAAACGAAACGUGCGAUAAUGGUCUAAUCGCACCUUCUCCGACGUUGUACCCGUGCGAGAACCCGGCAUGGUACGCGCGCGGCCACGUCACGAUGAACGUCCCCGGUUUCUGCAACGUCUGAAAUACCGGGACGCCGUGGGCAUCGCGAAGAACCCCGGGGGGUACGAGCGUGACGAGUCGGUGCAACAGAUCCGGGGUGUCGUGCACGCGCGUCGGAACGAUCGUUCGCACCGCGCGUUCAAAUGCGGACGCCGACGCAGGGGGGAUGGAAUACCACGUCUUCGGCGCGCCGUCGUGGAGGUAGUUCACACUUCCGAGGUAGUGAUCCUCGACAUGCCAGCAAAACGCACUGAACAGCAUCCCGAAGUAAAUCCAUGGUCGUGUCAGCCCGGGAAUGUCCCCACCGACAACGCGAAGUAUGUUCGACGGGUGAUUCACGAGCUCGCUGAAAUCCCACGCGUGUCGCCGCGCGCCGUCCUCGCUGUCGCUGUCGCAGUCGCCGUCGCCGUCGCCGUCGCCGUCGCCGUCGCCGUCGCCGUCGCCGUCGCCGUCCGCAUCCGCGCGACGACUCAUAACAUCGUCGCUGAUUUCGUCGUUACCGUCGUAAUUCGCUCUUGGAUACAACCCGAACCCAGAUCCGUACACAUCCGCGUCCAGGUCGCUUCCAUACUCAACGCUGACGCGUUCUGCGUUCGUCUCGACGAUGCGCCAAAGCCACAGGUCGCGUGCGUGCAUUUAUCAAAGUCAGGUGAGUCAUGGAUAGAUAGAAUGUGUGUGUCAUGCAUAGUGAGAACGACUGUGUCAUUCAACAUUUGAAGAAACCGACGGAGAAACGGACAUGAAAAUGUCGCGUCAUUGUCGUCGUCGAGACGAACGAUGACACAAGCAGAGGGAAGAAGGGGAGAUACAGGUAGGGACAGAUUCAAGAGAAGAUCCAUACCAAAAUUCUUCCUCCACCGCCCUUGCCCUCGCGUCCGCUUCCUCGAAUCCGCGCUCUAUCAUCAACCGUUUCACCUCCGCGUCUAACGACAAGUGCGCGUGCAUCCACGCUGCCGCGAAUGAGUCCGCCAUGGCGCGAAAACUCUCGCGCGUGUACCGUUUCCCGUCCUCGAAGUCAACUCCCUCUUGAAGGCGGUGCACCGCUUGGAGUUUCGUGUCGAAUGGGAUCUCGCCGCCGCCCGCGUUUGCGUUGAACGGCGGUCUCCAUCCUGGGUCAGAGACAUGAUCGAAGUCAGCGUCAUAGUUCGUACGGGACGGGCGCCGUCCGCGCAGGCGCGGGGGACGGGGAAGCGCACGGGGUGGAGGCUGGGGGACCGACGCUCGACUCCGAAUCUGAAACUUCGCGCGUCGUCGUCGUCGUAGUCGUCGUCGUCGACGACGACGACGACGCGUCCGCGCGCGCGCGUCGCACCUUCCGGAGGGACGAUUUUCACGAUCCCCGCGGCGAUCCCCUCGCUGGUGAUGCUCUUAAUGUACGCGAACGGGUCGCGGAACUGCUCCGGGGUGGGGUGAAACGUCGGGCACGAAGGCAUACACGUCGAAGACGUUCGCUUUUGAAGUUUCACCGACGCUCGCAGCGCGCGCUGCACCUCGGCCUCAUCGAACAUCGCGUCGUCCGCGUCGCGACGUUUCGCGGGCGGGCGCGUGAGGCGUUUUGACCGCGCCGCCAUCGCGCGGAACACCGGCACCCAGGAAACGCACUGAACGCGUGUCCAUCUUUCGUUUCACCUUACUCGUAUACCCACAACCUGGUCUCGUUCAGGGACGGAAUUCCGUCCCUUUCCGGCGAAAAAACUGAGAAUUUUGCCUAUGGGCAAUUGGUCACAAGUGCCGAAUUUCCGCCGUUUUUCGACGGAAAAUCGGCGGAAAAUCACCAAAAAAUGAGUACGGAUCGGAAAACUACUCGUACUCCAACUGAUUGCCCAUAGGAAAAAUUCUCAGUUUUUCGCCCGGAAAGGGACGGAAUUCCGUCCCUGAACGGGACUAACAACGCAGUGAAAGUCGAAAAAUAGUCAGAUAUACAGGUUACGAGUAUCAUGUCCGGAAAGCGUCGAUUUCGAGUACGAGUACAAAAAUCGAAAUUUCGAUUUUUGCUGGCUUAAUUCGCCAAUCACGGUUUAAAAUUGAGGGACUCCAACUUUUUUGGCUCGACACCCCCCUAAUCCGCGCGGGAACCGACGGCGGCGGCGGCGCGACGCGCCGCGCCGCUUGGAGGGAAUCUGCUUCAACACCCAAAUAUUGGAUGUGGCAAAAAAGAUCCCCCUAAUUCAGCGAUUUAUUAUGUUUCCACGCCCGCGCCGUGCACUUUUGCUCUGACAGCAAAAAAAAGACACAGAACUCCCAUACGAAGCUUCGUGGAACAAAAUGGCCGUCCCCUCACGCGCGCGCGAGACGAGCGGGCGAGCGUCGGCGGCUUAUGAAGUCAUUUCACGGCGGGAGGAGUUGACCAAGGGGUGUUGUUCGAUAUCCCUAGGGUCUAUCUGUGGCGCCGCCGCCGCCACCGCCGCCACCGCGUGUCCGCGUCCGCGGAUUGGCCUGAGAUUACCUCAUUUCGGAGGUCGAGUACGCGAUGAGAUCGAGGAAAUCGAGUGGGCACCUCACGCGCGCGGCGGCGGGUGUCGCAAAUGAGGAGCUUUGAGGGUCGCAGAUGGCAGGGAUCGAACGCUGACGCAUGUGCCGAGGUGCUCUGGGGUUCACGAUCGACGCCGCCGCCGCCGCCCACGACGCCGCGCACCAACAGCGCGCGCCAAAGCUAAAUCUGACUAUUUUUCGACACUGUGCCCGGCCUGGCGUGUGACAACGGCGCCUUUCCGGGAAAAUGUGACGUACGAAAGUACUUUCGUACGAAGUACGGAAGUACUUUCGUACUUUCGUACGAAAGUACGAAAGUACUUUCGAAAGUACGAAAGUACUUUCGUACGAAAGUACCACGUUGUAGGGCUACACACGUACGCUAUCUUUCGUGAAGCCCUCUCCUAUUAGAAGAUACGCAGCCCUCGUGGGAAAAUGUGACGUAUUCGGGCACGAGAGUUUUUAGUCUGGAAAAAAUGCGGUUCGCGGGUCGCCCUCAUGGAAAAAAUGUCCAGGGCCGCCAGUUUCAAACUACGUGUAGUCGGGUAAAAUAAAACGUUGAAACCGCGUCCUCCCGGUGGGGAAAUUCUCAUCGGUGAUUAUUUUUCAGCUAAAGAGAAAACACGAUUGUGACACCACCCCGAGCUCCUUCUCGACCCAUAGCGUCGGAGAGACUCGAUAAGGAUAAUCCGUACAUUUACGAGUACACACAAUUUAUUUCAGGAACCAGUUGCUUCUAUCUUUUGCGUGCGUGCGUGGCGGCUGCCGCCGGCCACCUCCUUCACAACCGAGCUCCUCGGCCUCCCCCGCUCACCGCUCGCGCGCGGUCGGUUCCGUGCAGAGCCUCCGCACAUCGCGCAUCAUCUGUCAUGGCGCGCAUUGCGCACCUUCUCCUUCUCGCGCUCGCGCUCAGCGCGCUGUCCUCCCCUCGUCUCGCCCUCGGGGUGGACCUCUCUCUCGCGGCGCUGCACGCGCGCGCGGGUUGCGCGGAGCACACUUACCCGUACGCGUGGAGUGGAACGCACCCGUCGCACGCGCACGCGAGCGGCACGGCGCCAGCGCCGCAUCAUUCGACGCCGGAUCCGCAUCACGACGGCGGCGAAGAAGCGUAUGUCGACGCGUACGACUCGCCCCCCACAGCGCCAGGGAUAGACAUAGUUACCCCUCACACACCCGCGGCUGUGUGCGACACGACGCAGUUCACGGAACAGCUGCCCGAGUUACUUCCCAGCCUCCCCCGUGCAUCGCAGUGUCGUCGACAUCGAAACAGUGUUGCGACGCCAUCGCGAACACGGUCGGCUCGGACGAAGACGCUUCGCUGCCCGCGUGCCUAUGCAACCGAGACGCGUUCGUGCUGACGGAGCAGCUCCUCGAGGACACCUUUGAGAUGGAUUCAAAGGGCAUGUUGACGGCAUGCAUAUAGAUACACGACGUAAGCGUACCAUACGAGUGCGAAGACGUGAAAACAACACGCGUCAGCGGACGCAGGCGGCGGCGGCGCAGAGUCAGCGAAGAUGACACGUGGGUUCGCGAGCGGAGCAGACGCAACACUGGACGCGCUUGAGCCCGAGCGUGGUGGUUCGAAUCUCGUUCACGACCUGCGGACCCGCGAUCCCGCGAGAAAGGGCGCGUCGUGUGGUGAUGUAUUGUCGCGAAAUUACAUUACACCUUCAUCAAUUCCCUCUACCAAUCGAGACUCUUCUUCCCUCAUUACGGGGACGAUGUGAGUCCUGCAGCGGCGAGCCCAGCCGCGGCUGCGCCCGUGGGCGUUCCCCGCAACCCGAGCGGCACCGCUUUCACCGGAGUCGUCUUUGGGGUGCCAUCAGCGUGAAAGUUGAACGCCGCGAACGCAUCAUCGUCGUAGUCGUCCCCACCUCCUCCGCCGUCGCCAUCAUCCGGCUUAUUUUCUCUUCUUUUCUCUCUCUUCGCCUGGCGCUCCUUAGGAGGCGUCCGUCCGGUGACUUCUACUGCGGGUUCGGAAAGUUUAUGUCUCUUUCUCGGGCUUGGCGUUGACGUCACGCGAGUCUGGCGCGAGUCCGUUCGCCGCGCGUCGGCGUGCGUCUCUGUCGUCGCCGCCGCCGCCGCCGCCGCCGCUGCUGCAGCAGCGUCCGCAGAUUCCUUGCGCUUCCCCAACACCCUCUUUUUUCGUCCUGAUGCUACUGGCGCAGCAGCGGCUUCCAUUAUCUCCAAACUCUUAAGCUUCCAUUCAUUCGUCCGCGGCGUAUCGUCUUUUGGCACCCGUAGCGGUGACAACGACCCGUCGCCGACGCCUGCGACUGCGGCGGCGAGGCGCUUCGAGAGCGUCGGUCUCUCUGCGCCAUCGCAUUCCAAUUCACGGGCGCCACCAUCCGCGAACGAUGCGAUAGUGAUCGGCACGUACUUCGGCGGUCGACCUCGUCGCUUCGUGAUGCCGCUCUUCGGAGGCUUUCCUGCACUGCCGUCGGGGUUAGGGUUUUUUGGCGGUCGACCUCGUCGCUUUGGCGGGCCCGCGGGGAUUUUUCCUGCGCCGUUGGCGCCAUCCUCCAGGCGAAUCUUACGCGGUCUUCCUGCCCCUGGGCGUUUCCCUCCGCGUUUACUCUUCGAUGCAGAGCUGCCGGUUGCGAGAGUGUCCGCGGUCGUCGCUGUAGCAGUUGUAUCCGCUGGACCAGACGUUUCAUUCUUCGUCCCCUCUGGCGGCCGCGGUGGCGACAGCUGCAUGGCUGUGUCAUUCCCUGCGUCGUCCACAGAACACUCCCUCUUCGCUUCUGCAGCACCCGUGCCAGGGAUUUCCACGCCCACGUCAAAUCCCGCCGCCUGAAUCACUAUAUCUGCCGUUUUCGUCGCUUUUGCUUUCUGGCUGCCGCCCGCGGUCGGCGACGUCGCCGGCGCCGCGCUCACGAUCGCCGCGGUGAUGAGUGCAGCAGCAUCCUUCUGUGCAUCUCGUCGCUUCGCGUUUGGGGCGGCAACAUGUGUUGCGUUCGGUGAUUUACUUAACUCCUGCGUCGAUGUGCGAGCGUCCUUCCUCGCAAUCGACGAUCUCUUUCGCGCGUCUGCCGUCGUUGCGGGCGACAGUUGUUCUGGCGGCUCGGAUUCAGACGCGGACGGUACUCCGGUGGUGGCAGUCGCGUCGUCAUCCGUGUCCCCUGACAAUACGGCGUCGUCCAAUGUUCUAUCCGUCGUCGAUGAAUCGUGUACCUUUAUGUUUGAGGCGCCGAACGCGUUCUUCUUUUUCGCGGCCAGCUUUUUCGGUCUUCCCGCGCUUGGAAUCUUUUUUUUUGGUCUUCCCCGUUUCUUCCCGCGCGACGCCAGUGGCGCGUCGUCCGAGUCCGAAUCGGACGACCCGGAGUCAGAGUCGGAGUCGGCGCUGGAGUCGGUGUCGGGAUCAGAACCGGAAUCGGAGUCUCGCGACGACCUCGCUCUUCGCUUUUCGCUCUUUCUGGCGCUCUUCUUCUUCUUCCCUGGGCGAGCGUGAGCGCGAACGCCACCGCCGCUCUUUGACGCGUGAACUUGCGAUCGAAUGCGGCCUCGCACGUUCGGCGACAUCGGCCGCGUGUUGAACGGGUCUAACGCUGGUUUGAACGAUCCCAUGACCCUGCCCGGAACGCCCUCGUUUAUCCAAAACGCCCUCGGCGCUCGGCGUUCACGCCUGCCGGUCGACUUCCCACCCAAGCCUCCGCGGCCGCCGCCGCCUGUGUCGUCCUCGACAUUCUCGGCGCUCUCUCGAUACCCUGUCUUGCGUGUCAUCAGGGAUACCACGACCGCGCGUUGUUGUAUCCUAGACGCUGCCGCGAGUAGCGCGGCUGCUUCUCUACUCCCUUUCUUCGCGCCAGUCUUUUUCGACGGAGCCGUCUUCACACCCGCGCGAACGUGCACAACUUUGUUCCCGUCGUCGUCACUGUCGCUCUCGAUUCGAGUCGUCCGUCUCGGCGCGAGGAGAUACUUCGCGUCCGCGUUCCUCUUUAAUUUCGUUGUUUUGUCAUUCCCGGCAGGUUUGGACGCCGUCUCCGCGAGCUUCGUGAGAGGGUUGCUUUUGUUCGUCCUACCGCGCUUGAAAUCGUCGCCGCCGUCGUCUCUUGAACCCCUCGCGCCGCGUUCUGACUGCGGGUCCAUUUCCUCCUCGUCAUCAUCGAACGAGCGCAUCAUCGGUGAUGUUUUCAACUUGAGUGGCCGUCCUCUUUUCUUUCGAGAGCCGCUGCCUCUCGGGGGUGACGGCGGCGGGGAGAAUAUCCCCACAUUGGUGCCGCCUUCGCCAACUGAGCGUCGCCGAAGAAUCAGGUCGUCCAGAGAGAUACCCGCGUUCGAGGGUUCGACGCCGCCAUCCGCUCUGCCACGAUCUCGCCUGCCGCCGUCGCCCGCGUGAGGCGACCGAAACGACGGCGGCGGCGACGUCAAAUUCGCGAACAACUCUCUUCCCCCACCGCCGUUCGGGGAGCGCGUCCUCCCGCCGUUGUCGCUCGCGUCGCCAAGCAGAAGCGCCUUCGACCCCGGCGUCCGCGCAUUCGACUUCACGAGUCCGUUCGACGACCCCGACAUUGGAAGAUAUUUCACUAAUCCGUCGAACGCGUCGCGUUCGGCGCGCGUGGGCACCGGCGACGCCCUGACCAUGUCCUCGAACUUAUCAUGCACCGCCCUCGCGAGCUCGCCAUUGAGCCAAUCCGCGCCGCUGCCGUUCGCUCCGAUCGACCGGCCGCCGAUAUCGCCCGGGGCGAUCAUUUCGACGAUGUCGUGGUGUAUGCGUUCACGAACCGUCUCGACGACGCUGCGACGCGUCCGAGAUACCCAUCCGUCGCCGCGAGUCCUGCGAGUCAUCGGACGCGAAGGGGUCAAGGAGGCGAGCAUGAGCGUGGGGGUCGGGUUCGUUCGUUCGUUCGUUCGUUUGUUCGUUCGUUCGUUCGAUCCAUGCGAACGAUGAGUCGCGACCGACUCGAGGGGGCGUGCACCUCGAUGAACGACCGAGAUGAGACGCGCGAGGGGUUGGAACCGAGCGGAAGGUCUGGAUUGUCGUUUCGAAUCUCGGCGCGCGGACAAGGACGAGACGACGCGAUCGAAGGACGUCGCGACCGAUUCGGCGACGGGCGGGUGUCGACGCGACGCGCGAGGACACGAGGACGCACUCGUAGGACGUGUACUCCGCGGUGUCUCCUCUCGCAGCGAGCCCGUCGGGGUUCGCAAACCCGCGCCCGAACGCGCCGGGGGCGUUCGGGCGCGGGAGCGAUCGGUCGCUCGCGUGGUGGUGCCCCGAAGACGGCACUAACGCGAAUAUCGCGCCGGAUCUGUCGAGAAAGCGUCGUUCACGCGAGAGUUGCGGGUGGUUUCGUGAGUCAAAGACUUUAAUGGACGCGAAGCAGAGACGCGCAGGUGGAUUUGGACGCUUCGAGCCCGCUCGGAGAGCGUCCCGCGCGCGUCCGGAAGAAGGCGGGAAGAAUGUCGCGAGAAGACGACGACGACAACGACGCCGGGCGCGAACGUACCGCACGGGAUCUGCGGCGCCGCUGGGGGCUUCAUCGUUCCUCACGAGCGGCAUGACUUCCCUCCCUCGUUCAAACGCGGCGGCGUCGGAGCUCCGUGUCUCGUACUGCCCGGUCUGCGGGAACGGCAGUUAGUCCGGACUGGCACCACAUUUCCGGCCCUUUCGAUGUGCACUUAAGAGACGGUAAAUCUCCGGUGAACGUUUACCUUUCAAAAUUUUCGAUCGGUCGAUCUGGGCUCAAAUUCAGAUUUCAUCGCAAAUCGAUCUCAUUUAGGGUUGCAGUCANNNNNNNNNNNNNNNNNNNNNNNNNNNNNNNNNNNNNNNNNNNNNNNNNNNNNNNNNNNNNNNNNNNNNNNNNNNNNNNNNNNNNNNNNNNNNNNNNNNNUGUGAAUUUGAGCCCAGAUCGACCGAUCGAAAAUUUUGAAAGGAAAACGUUCACCGCGAGAUUUACCGUCUCUUAAGUGCACAUCGAAAGGGCCGGAAAUGUGGUGCCAGUCCGGACCUAGCAGUGGUGCACGAAACGAGAUUUUGAAGCGCACUCGGUACAGGUACACUACGUGUACACGUACUGGUACAAUCCUUCGAAGGUAAUAAUACUGUACACAUAUGGUACAGACAGUAGAUGUACAGUACGAAGGUACAAGUUGUACUGUGUAUAUCUGAUUUUACGUGUGUACAAAAAGACUGAGCUAUCCAUGCGGGGAAAACAAUACUUUACUGUAACGCGUUGUACGUGUACACGUACUGUACGUGUACUCGUACAAGUCUCGUACGAAAGUACUUUCGUACGAAAGUACGAAAGUACCUUCGAAGGUACUUUCGUACUUUCGUACAACAUACGAAGGUAUGAUACUGUACUACUCGUACGCCCUUAAGCCGCGAAUUAACGUGAAUUGACGGAGCCUAAAGGGUUGAACCCUUCGGGUUCAUUUCACCCUUAACUCUGUCGGCAGCGCGCGCGCGAGUACGCGCGAGUACGCGCGAGUACACGCGGUCGGUCGAAAUCGUCGACCGAACUCGCCAAUCUCGGUUCAAACUCCCCGACUACCGACGGCCGAAGCGCCAGAGGCGCUGAUAAUAAUGGAUCAGUACGUGUACAACGCGUUAACUAACGCGUUGUAGUACACGUACCUCCGCUUUUUUUGUGUAAAAUUAGGUGAAAUAGUGUGAUACUAUUAAGCUUGACCGACUGCGUCGGUCAAGGUUCGUUUCACUCACCCUUAAUAAUAUACACAAUUUGAACCUAAUUUUACACAAAAAAAGCGGAGGUACGACGAUGACCGCUGCGCGGUCAUCGCUAAAUUAAAAUCUCAGGAGAAGGUGAGAAGGUCUCGUCAGGCGGGUUUCUCAAAGGUCUCAUGUUCCCGUCGCGCAAAAGCCUUUAGGGUUUUUGGGGCGCGAAAAGUUUAGGGUUGGCGCGCACGGCCAUUGUCGGUCUGUGUGCGAAGUUUCAUGGAAAUCAGUUAAGAUUUUGUGCUUUAAAUAACCAGCGGUCGGUCGGUACCAGUCGUCGGGACAUUUCUCCGGAAGCUCUCUGCACACGAAAAAUAAAUGCGAUCUCCCGAGACAUCCAUAGACUAA
This 17978-nucleotide long non-coding RNA is filed under the name Micromonas pusilla. RNAcentral describes it as "long non-coding RNA (MPUS_LNC000029)". Lineage: Eukaryota; Viridiplantae; Chlorophyta; Mamiellophyceae; Mamiellales; Mamiellaceae. The record is from RNAcentral.